UGCUUCUUACUGCUACCCUGUUUCCUACUACCUCCCUCCUCUGUGCUGGGCUCUGUGGGUAAGAGGUCAAGAGAUGCAGAAGCCUAGUCUCUGAGCUGCAGAAAUAUCUUUCUUUGGGUUGGCCAAUUGCAUCUUUGCAGUUCUCUACAUCGGGUGGAUUCUCUUGAUCUGGUCUAGGUUGGAUCUCUCAAGACAUUGCCUCAUAGUCUGCCUCUGGAAAUAGAAGUCAUAGGCUUUGGAUUAAGUGUCUGACUGGGUUGCGUUCCCAGUAUCAGUGCACAUGGAUUAUAUACAAAUUGUCUUUGAUAAGAAGUGAAAGAAGAGGUGUCUACUUCCAGACUCGAACAAAAAUAGAAAGCAUAUCAGCUCUCAGCGGCUCACUUCACCUGUAUUACUCAGAUCACACAGGUAGAGGGCAUUCUCCAGCUUCCUGAACCUGUUGAUCCACAUCUCCUGUUCUUCAGACUCUUUCUUCAUCAUCAUUGGACUCACAAAAGGCUGUGAGACUGGCCUGACCUUCAGGGCUUGUAGGGGAUCAUCUGGGGCUGAAAUCUCAGCAGGACGGUGUUCUGAUGGCAGCUUCUCUUCUGGAGUUUUCUACCAAAACAACACAAGCAUUGCACUGGCAAUACAUUCACCACAAAGAACUCUUCCAGUCUCUUGGCCAAAGAUGAGGCCACACAGCUAGCAAGGUUUAUUGCAAGGUCUGGCUUUGUAAAGCUAGAGGAUGUGUUUCAAAUCCUCUGUGCCAUAGGACCAUAUCUGCCAAUUCUUGCUGGAUAUAAACUAUGUUGAGUUGGUUUUUUUUUUGGUUGUUGUUGUUAAGAGAAGGGUGGAAUCAUGCCUUUAUUCAGUUUACAUUUCUGACUUACACAAAACAAAGGUUUUUGUAACUGAGAAUUUUUAUGAUAUUCUACUCUGUUUUAUACUAGUGGGAUACACAAGAGAUAGGCUUCAGGCAAUGCUUAUAAUUUCUUUGUGGGAAACCUCUGCAUCAUGAGUGUGAGAUUCUUGACAGAAAGUGAUUGAAACAAUACUGAUAUUAUCUUAGGCUCCUGGGCCCAUUCUACUAAACCAUAAAGCACCUCUGUGGUCUGUCCAUUCUACACAUUUAACAGAGGAAGCUGCGACCCAGGGAGUGGAAGUGACUUACUAAGCUCAUACAGUCAAUGGUAGACACAAAACUAGAAGGUAAGUGUAGAGCUUAUGUCUAGUCCCUUUUGGUAUUCUAACUCCAUGUCCAGUACAGAAUAGAGGUGGUUUUAGAACAAGUGGACAAAUGAGUCCUUACUGUGCCAUGUAAGACAUUCUAUCACCUACCAUUAAGAGAGAGAGUGGGCAUCAGCUGUUUGAUCUGCCCAGCCCCACUUUUCCAGACAUUGCCCAUCCUCCCUAUCUACAUGACUGUGGAGAAAACCACCAUGUAUCUAAGGACAUGAUGCAGGACUGGCCACCUAAUGCAAAAUGGGCCAAUAAACACACUGUCCAGUGGUUUUGGAACUAUUUGUGAGAAAUAGAGACAGACAAAGAAAGAAAAAUAGAGGCCAUUCUGUGUGAGAUGUAGGAAUUCUAGCAGGUUUUCCACUCUGUGUAUUGAAAAUGAGAAAAAGAUGGUCUUCCAAGAAAGAUAGACACAUACACAGGAAGAUACAUAGAUAGAGGAUGUGAAGCUGACAGCAGAGAGAAAAGACACAGGAAGUCAUGAUGUUGUUCAAGUCCCUGACUUUAGUGUGUUGUUAUGGUUCUGACCUUAGUGUAAUAUGCUUGUCUAUCCUUCCAUUAUAUUAAAUUGGUAGAGUUGGCUCUGUUCACCACAAUGCAAAUAAUCUUAACUAAUUUGCCUUAGAAUUAUGCCUCUAACUUCUGUAUCUCUGUGGUUCCUCCAAUUUUCAAAUACCUGAAUUUCUCCAGUUUUGUACCUUUGUCUCAAACUUCUCACAUGAGUUGUGAAAAAUCCCAUAGCUCUAAAGAAUGGAAAUUGCAAUAAGACACCAAGUUUUGAGUUUGUUAACAAACACGGAUUGAGCUGCUUCUGGGAAUUGUAAAGAACUGUUUUGUUUCAAAGAAUAGAAUGCGAUAUGAAAUUGCAACCAUAUGGGUGACCAGCAACCGGUAAAUUGCAAGAGAUUAAUAUAAAAGAAUUCCACAUUGAUAAAAUCAAUCUUGAGAAACAGAUAAAGUUUUCAUAAAGUAAAUAAAUAGGAUUAUUAUACUUUUUAGAGAUUUGGACCCCUUUAGAAAUCUGAUGAAUACUUUAGAUAAUCUACCCAGCUAAAUGCACACUUGCAUAGAGUUUGGUGGAUGACUUUAGAGAAUUUAAAAGAGGUCCUUGGAUCUGAGAAGCUGAUUUUAAAUAACUUUGUAUUCCUUCAGAUAGUUUAACAUUCUCUUUGAUCACUAAAGGCAGGGAAAGGGAGGAUUUGUAUAGACCUGAAUUAGGCUCAACUAAGUAAGUAGGUGACACACCCUAUAUUGUUUUAGUCCCGCUGUAGAUGUAACAGGGUAAAGUCCAAAUUCCUUACCUGGCACAUAAGAUCAUUCAAGUUUUUGUUCUUUUUCUUCUUUCAAAUUCUAUGUAUGCACCCUUUUUCUCUCAUUUUUUCCAGCCUCAUAAAAUGAAGCUGUAUAAUGCCUUUAUGCUUUAUACAUGCUAUUCCCUCUGUUGUGAGAGCCCUUCUUAUCACUCAUGCCUUGAUUGGUUGGGCUUCUACUCAUGCUUCAAGACCCAAUUCAUAUUUCACUUCUUGUGGGCAGCCUUCCCCAAAGCCCCAGGGUGGGUGACGGGUGAUUCUUUGCAGCCCUUUUAUCCAUCGCAGCACUUAUUAGAGGAUAUUGUAACUGUUACAGCAUCUCUCUUCUCUACCAGGGGUCUAGAGACUGGGCCUAUGAGGUGGUCAUUUGUAAACCUUCAAGGUCUGGUUAGUGACCGGCACAGGGUGGUUUUGAAGACAUGUUUACUGAAUGAAUAUGGGAAUGAAUAAAUGAUUUUCUCUGGGAAAAGAGGAAAUGUGUCUUACCAAACUUCUGCUUCAAUUUCUCUCUCUAAA
Molecule: long non-coding RNA, 3047 nt
Organism: Canis lupus familiaris (dog)
Lineage: Eukaryota; Metazoa; Chordata; Mammalia; Carnivora; Canidae
Exons: 3
Source: RefSeq, a predicted model, not a curated record